RNAcentral lists this long non-coding RNA (470 nucleotides) under Homo sapiens (human). RNAcentral's name for it is "non-protein coding lnc-PAX3-2:1". The record is from RNAcentral. Lineage: Eukaryota; Metazoa; Chordata; Mammalia; Primates; Hominidae.
AUGGUGCUGAAGGCAAAGAAGAAAGCUCCUGCCCCUCCUAAAGCCAAAACCAAAGCGAAGGUUUUGAAGGCCAAGAAGGCAGUGUUGAAAGCUGUCCAUAGCCACAAAAAAAGAAGAUCUGCACGUCACCCAUCUUCUGGUGGCCCAAGACCCUGAGACUCCGGAGGCAGCCCAAAUAUCCUUGGAGGAGUGGCCCCAGAAGAAACAAGCCUGACCACUGUGCUGUCAUCACGUUUUCGCUGACUACUGGGUCUGCCACGAAGAAGACAGAAGACAACAACACAUUUGUGUUCAAUGUGGAUGUUAAAGCCAACUAGCACCAGAUCACACGGGCUGUGAAGAAGCUCUGUGACAUUGAUGUGCCCGAGGUCAACACCCUGAUUAGGUUUGAUGGAGAGAAGAAGACAUAUGUUCGACUGGCUCCUGAUUACAAUGCUUUGGAUAUUCCCAACAAAAUUGUGAUCAUCUAA